GAUGAAGAACGUAGCGAAAUGCGAUACGUAGUGUGAAUUGCAGAAUUCAGUGAAUCAUCGAAUCUUUGAACGCACAUUGCGCCCUUUGGUAUUCCAAAGGGCAUGCCUGUUCGAGCGUCAUUUGUACCCUCAAGCUUUGCUUGGUGUUGGGCGUCUUGUCUCCAGUCCGCUGGAGACUCGCCUUAAAGUCAUUGGCAGCCGGCCUACUGGUUUCGGAGCGCAGCACAAGUCGCACUCUUUUCCAGCCAAGGUCAGCGUCCAACAAGCCUUUUUUCAACUUUUGACCUCGGAUCAGGUAGGGAUACCCGCUGAACUUAAGCAUAUCAAUAAGCGGAGGA
Molecule: unclassified non-coding RNA, 338 nt
Filed under: soil metagenome
Description: partial contains 5.8S ribosomal RNA, internal transcribed spacer 2, and large subunit ribosomal RNA
Rfam family: 5.8S ribosomal RNA (bases 1-120)
Source: RNAcentral